GACGAACGCUGGCGGCGUGCUUAACACAUGCAAGUCGAACGGAAAGGCCCUGCUUUUGUGGGGUGCUCGAGUGGCGAACGGGUGAGUAACACGUGAGUAACCUGCCCUUGACUGUGGGAUAACUUCAGGAAACUGGGGCUAAUACCGGAUAGGAGCUCCUGCUGCAUGGUGGGGGUUGGAAAGUUUCGGCGGUUGGGGAUGGUCUCGCGGCUUAUCAGCUUGUUGGUGGGGUAGUGGCGUACCAAGGCUUUGACGGGUAGCCGGCCUGAGAGGGUGACCGGCCACAUGGGGCCUGAGGUACGGCCCAGACUCCUACGGGAGGCAACAGUGGGGAAUAUUGCGCAAUGGGCGGAAGCCUGAUGCAGCAACGCCGCGUGCGGGAAGACGGCCUACGGGGUGUAAACCGCUUUCGCCUGUGACGAAGCGUGAGUGACGGUAAUGGGUAAAGAAGCACCGGCUAACUACGUG
Molecule: ribosomal RNA, 468 nt
Filed under: uncultured bacterium
Lineage: Bacteria
Description: partial 16S ribosomal RNA
Rfam family: Bacterial small subunit ribosomal RNA
Source: RNAcentral